UUUGCUUCUCUACGCCAGCGCUUUUAUCAGCGUCAUCACGCAACGAGCUGACGCAGAUCCUCUCCGCGCGAAAUUUUGAGAGUUCCGUUGAGAACAAAACAAGAGCGCGAAGCAGCAGCUGCAGCAGCACCGCGCGCCGGUUCCGCUUCACAGCCGUAAAACUACCAACUGCAUCACGAUGGCGGAGCUCGGCUGCUACUCUCCCAGCUUCAAGAAACCGUCCGAGGUGCUGCGCAUGCGGAGGCAGCGGGCGCGGAGUGAAGGACCAGGCGGGAAAGUGUCGAGUCCAGCGCUAUCCGGGCUCCGGCCGUUUUCCCCGGGGCCGCUGCUCACCGCUCCGGGACGCGGUAACGGCGGAGUCAAGCGGAGAAACCCGUUCGCUAGCAUCGAGAACACCUACAGCAGCCCGAAGAAGAGGGCUUUAAUACAGGAGGAUGGUAGAAAGAGCUCAGCCGCGGGUCCAGACGAGAAACUCCGAGAAGAACCGAAAACCGGAGCUUUACUGCGGGAGGAGCUGCUGCACACUGACCGACUCAAACAACAGCACACACAGGCAGCGGUGUCUCUCUCUGAAGCUGACGGUGUGUUUGAGGAUGAUCUGUUUGAUCCGCAGAGCUCCGCUGCGGUGCUGAAGGUGAGUGGACGAUGCUCGUAUGUGGAUUUAUUUGUGGGAUUGACAGGCUUCCUGUGGGUUGUGGAAUAUCUGAAAUAUCUAUCAAUAUUUCAGGGAAAAUCAGGGAAUUGUAUUUAAUUUUUGUCCGAGUCAUGGAAUAUGAAGGAUUAUUGCAUGUCAUUAUAAAUUUGGUAUUUUUUUUAUUUAUUAUAUGUAUUUUGUUUUGCUGUAGCGUGUUUUCAUCAUGCUGUUUCGUGUGUGUUUGCAUAUGGUUAUGGUUAUCGAUACAGUGAAUGUUCAAAUAGUCCAGUGAUUACCGAAGUGGGGGUUGGGGACAUUUAUGAAGUCAUUGAUGCAGAUGGCUUGUGGAGAGGCAGAAGAGUGGGAGGUUGGGAACUCUUGAAUUAUGCUGUGCUGACCAGUGUGUGUGCGCGUGUUUGGGUUUGCAGAGUCCAGAGGCACUCCGUGACUCUUCUCCGUCUGAGGUGUGUGUGGAGUAUCCGGCUGACUGGUCUCUGAAAACGCGUCUGCUGUUCACGUCUCCUCAGUCGUUCUCCUGGGCUGAGCAUCUGAAGGCGCAGGAGGAGGCGCAGGGCUUGAGUUCUCACUGCAGAGCCCAGUUCAGCAACAUUCCUGCUCACAUACCGGUAUAUAUAUACACACACACACACACACACACACACAAAAUAUAUACACACACACACACAAUAUAUAUAUAUAUAUACACACACACACACACACACACAAAAUA
Molecule: long non-coding RNA, 1364 nt
Filed under: Danio rerio (zebrafish)
Lineage: Eukaryota; Metazoa; Chordata; Actinopteri; Cypriniformes; Danionidae
Description: lncRNA (ENSDARG00000117321.1)
Source: RNAcentral